This 334-nucleotide long non-coding RNA is filed under the name Panax ginseng (ginseng). RNAcentral describes it as "long non-coding RNA (PGIN_LNC001901)". The record is from RNAcentral. Lineage: Eukaryota; Viridiplantae; Streptophyta; Magnoliopsida; Apiales; Araliaceae.
CCGAAUCAUCCUUUAUGCACAAUUAUUAAUUAAACGAAAAGAAGAAGAAUAAGAAUUAUACCCUUGAAGAUUCGAGCUUUCUCAGGUACUAGUUCACCUCCAAAUCUUUUCGCGUUCAACUUAAAUUCACCGAGUUUGGUUCCUUCCUUUGAUCAAUGUUAGCCACCCAAAUGUUUGGCCUCUAGAUAUGAUCCACCAAGGAAGAAAAAAGAUUCAAGAAGAUGGAUAUUUGGGAAAACCCUAGUUUUUUUUAUCUCUCAUAGAAAAGGUGUACUCUCCUAAUUAUUGGAAAUACGUAUGUUGUGAAAAGUCAACCACACACACCCAUAAUAAG